UGGGGAAUAUUGCACAAUGGGGGAAACCCUGAUGCAGCAACGCCGCGUGAAGGACGAAGGUUUUCGGAUCGUAAACUUCUAUCAAUAGGGACGAAGAAAGUGACGGUACCUAAAUAAGAAGCCCCGGCUAACUACGUGCCAGCAGCCGCGGUAAUACGUAGGGGGCAAGCGUUAUCCGGAAUUACUGGGUGUAAAGGGAGCGUAGGCGGCACGCCAAGCCAGAUGUGAAAGCCCGAGGCUUAACCUCGCGGAUUGCAUUUGGAACUGGCGAGCUAGAGUACAGGAGAGGAAAGCGGAAUUCCUAGUGUAGCGGUGAAAUGCGUAGAUAUUAGGAAGAACACCAGUGGCGAAGGCGGCUUUCUGGACUGAAACUGACGCUGAGGCUCGAAAGCGUGGGGAGCAAACAGG
RNAcentral lists this ribosomal RNA (408 nucleotides) under uncultured bacterium. Its description in RNAcentral is "bacterial SSU rRNA". It matches the Rfam family "Bacterial small subunit ribosomal RNA", at positions 355 to 776 of the family's 1533-position model. The record is from RNAcentral.